CGCCUAUGCGGUGGAGGCUCCGGGCUUCAGCUAGGGCGGGCGAGCCCAGCAGAAGGACCGGGCAGCCUGGCACCCCACUUUGCCAUCCUGUCCCUGGAAACCUCGGGGUCGGCGGGCCGGCCGCUUCGCUUGGGCGAAAUCAGAGACACGUGGUUUCCAAGGCCCCUUCGGCUCUCCCUGUCCAGCCGCCUGCAGCUGACCCUGUACCAGUACAAGACUUGUCCCUUCUGCAGCAAGGUCCGAGCCUUCCUCGACUUCCACGCCCUGCCCUACCAGGUGGUGGAGGUGAACCCUGUGCGCAGGGCUGAGAUCAAGUUCUCCUCCUACAGAAAGGUGCCCAUCCUGGUGGCCCAGGAAGGAGAAAGCUUGGGACAGCAGAUAUGAAAUGCCUGGCACAGUGCUUGGGGUCUAGUAUGUAGCUUCCAGAACCCACCCUGCCCCUCUACCUGGGAGGCCAAAUGGCAACAACUGAACGACUCCUCUGUCAUCAUCAGUGCCCUCAAGACCUACCUGGUGUCGGGGCAGCCCCUGGAAGAGAUCAUCACCUACUACCCAGCCAUGAAGGCUGUGAACGACCAGGGCAGGGAGGUGACCGAGUUCGGCAAUAAGUACUGGCUCAUGCUCAACGAGAAGGAGGCCCAGCAAGUGUAUGGCGGGAAGGAGGCCAGGACGGAGGAGAUGAAG
This 684-nucleotide small RNA is filed under the name Pongo abelii (Sumatran orangutan). RNAcentral's name for it is "processed transcript". Lineage: Eukaryota; Metazoa; Chordata; Mammalia; Primates; Hominidae. The record is from RNAcentral.